AAGCAACAUGAUGCAUUCAAAGGCUGGUGGGUCCACUGCCUCUCUGCCGGACUUCGACCAAAACAUCAGAUCUUCCUGGGUCUUGAGACACUGGUUUUCAGACUGUAACUAUAUCAUCAUCUCUCAUGGUUCUCAGACCUUCAAACUUGGACUGAAAUUUACAUCAUCAGCUCUUCUGGCCUCCAGCUUUCUGACAGCAGAUAUUGGUACUGGAUAGACUCCAUAGUGACUAUGAAAAUUCGGCAGUUUGGAUCCAAGGAUGAGAAGACACAUAGAAGAGUUCCAGAGAUUAUUAGCUGACACAUAGCCAAUAUGAAUUAAGAUGAAGAAAGAAAACUCUGUUUUUGAUAAUUUUGGGUUGUUACUGCAACAAAUUCUAGGGCAAUAGUUCUUAAUAUGUGGUUCUAAGACUAGUAGGAUCAGCUUGUUAAAAACUGCAAAUUCUUGGGUGUUACCCUCAACUUCCUGAAAAUGAAACUCUAUUUACCAAGGCUUUUGAGUGAUGCUGAGGUAUACCAAAGUGUGAGAAUUGCUGAUGUAAUAGCUAAUUCUUAUGGUUUCCAGGUAAAUUCUAUAAAACCUUUAACAUGCAGAAAACUCCAAAACUAUUAGACAGUUUUAGAUCAUUGAGAGAUAAAUCAAGCUUCAUUUAUGAAAUAAAGCUUUUUAAUAAGAUAUAUAUUAAUAUUAAAUUUAAAAAUAGAUUAAAGAAAAUUCCACACUAAACUCAUCAUAGAUUUGGGUUAAAAUGUAUAGUAAGCAAAAUAUGAACAGAAUUUAGCAGCACAUUAAUAUUCCUCAGUGAAAUAGGGUUGAUGCCAUGGCUGAAUAGUCCAUCUAGUGGAAGGUUCUAUUAGUAGCUGAUAUUUAUCAAUCACCAUGUUAAUGGGAAGAAGAGACACACACAUAUACGAUUCUCUCCAUACACACACAAAAAAAAAAUUGGUCAAAAAUAAAAGUUUCUUAAUUUAAAAAGAAUAACAGAAAUACCUAGAUAAUUUAAAAAAUAUGACAAAAAGAAUAUCUUUUAAUAACCAGAAUAAUGUCUAAUUUUUAGGAGUCAUAUUUCUCCUUCCAAUCAUUGAGAAAAAGGUGUUUUUUAAAAUGUAGGUUCUUAAAACAUUUUGGAUGAAAUAAUGAAGUCAAUUGAAGAUUAUUUCUUAUCUUUAGUAAAUUAAAUUCCAGACUAGUAAAGAUGUAAACAUAAAAAUUAUCCAUAGAAGAACACAUAGGACAUAAUUUUUGAAUCAGAGUAUAGAAGUCACAAAACUUAGAAAUUAUAAAAGAAAGUAAAUUUAUAAAAGAAAAAAAGCAAAGUGAAAACUUUUACACUAAAAAACUUUAAAAAAAUAAUCAAGUGAUAAAUUGGAAUAAUAAUUUUGUAUUAUAUGUGACACUGAAAAUGCUAGUUUCUUCAGCAUAAGAAUAAGAACAUAUAACUUAUUUAAAAAUUGGCAGAGGACACAAAAAAGUAAUUGAUAGGAAAAAAAUACAUUUAUUUGACUGGGUGUAGUGGCUCCCACCUGUAAUCCUAGCACUUUGGGAGGCCGAGGUGGGCAAAUUCCUUAGCUCAGGAGACUGAGACCAGGCUGGACUCACUUUACGGCACACACUCAUAAUAACUAACCCCCCUCCACUAUUAUGACAUGAAUCCCUGUUGGGGAGUUCUCUCAAGACCCAAUCACCUCGGUAGGCUUCACCUCCCAACACUGUUGCAUUGAGGAUUGAGUUACAUUGAGGAUUAACUGACUUAUGAACUUUUGAAAACCACAUUCAAGCCAUAGCAUUCUGACCCUGAUCCCUCAAAUUUGUGUCCUUCUCACAAUAAAAAAUACAUUUCUUCCAUCCCAAUUGUUUAAAAAGUCCUAACUCAUUUCAGUAGCAACUCAAAAGUCCAAAGAAUAAAGUUUCAUCUAAAUCACAUGUAGGUGUGAUUUUUUUUUUGAAAAUGCUUUUUUAUUGGACAAGAAAACUGAUCAAAUCUAAAUCUGGACAAACUAGAAAGUUCGGGUGCUCGCAAUACAAUCUAUAGACACAUUCUAGCGUCGCUUCUACGUCAGAAGAAUCAGGAUGGUGGUGCCUGCAGAUCCAUGGUCCUCC
Molecule: long non-coding RNA, 2100 nt
Filed under: Callithrix jacchus (white-tufted-ear marmoset)
Lineage: Eukaryota; Metazoa; Chordata; Mammalia; Primates; Cebidae
Description: lncRNA (ENSCJAG00000083394.1)
Source: RNAcentral